This 301-nucleotide ribosomal RNA is filed under the name uncultured bacterium. Its description in RNAcentral is "partial 16S ribosomal RNA". It matches the Rfam family "Bacterial small subunit ribosomal RNA", at positions 509 to 807 of the family's 1533-position model. The record is from RNAcentral.
CAGUAGCCGCGGUAACACGGAGGGUGCAAGCGUUAAUCGGAAUUACUGGGCGUAAAGCGCACGCAGGCGGUUUGUUAAGUCAGAUGUGAAAUCCCCGAGCUUAACUUGGGAACUGCAUUUGAAACUGGCAAGCUAGAGUCUUGUAGAGGGGGGUAGAAUUCCAGGUGUAGCGGUGAAAUGCGUAGAGAUCUGGAGGAAUACCGGUGGCGAAGGCGGCCCCCUGGACAAAGACUGACGCUCAGGUGCGAAAGCGUGGGGAGCAAACAGGAUUAGAUACCCCGGUAGUCCCUGUCUCUUAUAC